Molecule: long non-coding RNA, 1437 nt
Filed under: Sus scrofa (pig)
Lineage: Eukaryota; Metazoa; Chordata; Mammalia; Artiodactyla; Suidae
Description: lncRNA (ENSSSCG00035031781.1)
Source: RNAcentral
UCCCCCAGAGGCCUGGGCCCUUCCCUGGAGGGUUGCAGAUCCAGGACAUCUGGGGACACUUAGGAGAUCGCAGCUGUUCUGAUGAGAAAUAGGAAAUGUACUCCAUCCUUGCCCAGCAAAACCAAAAUGCUAAGUGAAUAGAUUUAAGGACUGUUUAGCUGCCUGGGUGCCUCUGUUGCGAUAAAGGAGGUAAUGACAGAUGGCUUUUCUCAAAGAUCAUCCGUGGGAGAGAGCCUUGAAGGGAGUUUAAUAAGUACCAUGUGGGCUUUGGGUUCGAAGCUUUCAUUGUUCUUUAAAGGAGAUUUCCAGGUGAUUCUAAGGCAAGGUAAAAACUGAGAACCAGUGGUUUAGCUUAACUUUGAAUUGACUGAAUGAUCACUCUGAUGUUUUGCCAGCAAAGGGAUUUCUAAUAUUGCAGUGGCCCCUGCAUCAGUCUUUGAAAAUACAGCUGUAGCAUCUAUAGCACAAAUGCUUAGGGGCAUCAAAAGUAUAUUGAAGCUAUUUUUAAAAGAGAAACUAUAUAAGCUGUUUACUUUAUAAAAAGGUAUCUUUUAUGCAGGCUAAAUGUUUAUUCUCAAAAGUUAAAGUUAGCCAUUAUCUAUUCUAAAUUAUUUAAAUUAGAGGUAAGGAUAAAAGACAACGACUUUGUGAUGUAGCUCUCUUUAAUCCAAGCAAUAGUCCUAAUUCACUUCCCCAAAUCAUUUGUGUCAUUAAUUGGGAACAGACAUUAGGUAUAUAUGUCUCUAAUUAGGUACCUCUCUUAGCUUGAGGGGCCCUUUUCUUAUCUUCUCUGCUUAUAGGAAAUAACCAGAAUGAAGUCCAGGGUUAUACAACAUUCCCUUUCUCAAGCUUUGAAAUGUCAGUGUAGACAAUUAAGUGGUUUAUAUUGGACAGAGUAUCUGGGAAUUAGAGGUCUUUCAGGGAAAACACCUCCUCCAUUUCUCCUGGGGAUGAAUGAUUGUAAUUCUACCACUGAUCCUGGUCCUAGAUUUCUAGCAGAAUCUUAUUUGAUUAAAAAAAUAAGCAGAAUUCAGAGAUGUGGGUGCAGAGGUCAACAAGGUACGAUUACAACUCUAAUUAGAGUUCUGAUUUGGAAGGCCCAUGAUUGAAGAGUGUUCAAGUACUAGACUUAGCAUAUUCAACUACCAUUUUGUACUCUUUCAUUAACUUGCAUCAUUUAAAUUUUUUAGAGUAAAAAGCAAUUGUAUACUAUUUGCUUUUAUUCCAUAUUUUCAUUUUAGGGUGUGUGAUUUCUCAAUAUCUCUUCGGUCAAAGACUAUUUUAAUUUUUCUCUGAAUGACUUCAAUCUCUGGCAAUAUUUGUGUGUGUGUUUAUAUUGCAUUUCUUGUUGCCUUUUUGUUUUAAUGUCUUCAUAAAAUGUUCUGAAAUUGAUGUUUGCAAUAAUUUGAGUUUCAUGAAAUAAAAAGCAACAUGAAC